GACGAACGCUGGCGGCGUGCCUAACACAUGCAAGUCGAACGGUCCGGCGCUCAACCGACCCUCAGUCUAACUGUAGGGGAAGUUGAGUGCCGGGUAGUGGCGGACGGGUGAGUAACGCGUGGGCAACCAACCCUGUACAGUGGGAUAACACCGGGAAACCGGUGCUAAUACCGCAUGACACCUAUAUGGUGCAUACCGUAUAGGUUAAAGGAUUUAACCGGUACAGGACGGGCCCGCGUCCCAUUAGCUAGUUGGUGAGGUAACGGCCCACCAAGGCGACGAUGGGUAGCCGACCUGAGAGGGUGACCGGCCACACUGGGACUGAGACACGGCCCAGACUCCUACGGGAGGCAGCAGUGGGGAAUAUUGCGCAAUGGGGGGAACCCUGACGCAGCGACGCCGCGUGAGCGACGAAGGCCUUCGGGUCGUAAAGCUCUGUUCUUGGGACGAAGGAAAUGACGGUACCCAAGGAGAAAGCCCCGGCUAACUACGUG
This 494-nucleotide ribosomal RNA is filed under the name uncultured bacterium. Its description in RNAcentral is "bacterial SSU rRNA". It matches the Rfam family "Bacterial small subunit ribosomal RNA", at positions 28 to 507 of the family's 1533-position model. The record is from RNAcentral.